This 510-nucleotide ribosomal RNA is filed under the name Paenibacillus sp. YN15. RNAcentral describes it as "Bacterial large subunit ribosomal RNA". It matches the Rfam family "Bacterial large subunit ribosomal RNA", at positions 698 to 1207 of the family's 2925-position model. The record is from Rfam by way of RNAcentral. Lineage: Bacteria; Bacillati; Bacillota; Bacilli; Caryophanales; Paenibacillaceae.
AGUACGUGGGCGUAGACCCGAAACCGUGUGAUCUACCCCUGACCAGGGUGAAGGUGCGGUAACACGCACUGGAGGCCCGAACCCACGUCUGUUGAAAAAGCCGGGGAUGAGUUGGGGGUAGGGGAGAAAUUCCAAUCGAACUCGGAGAUAGCUGGUUCUCCCCGAAAUAGCUUUAGGGCUAGCCUCGGUGUGACUGUCGUGGAGGUAAAGCACUGAUGGGGUGAGGGGCCCGCCAAGGGUUACCAAGUCCCGUCAAACUCUGAAUGCCAUGAACAGGUCACCGGGAGUCAGACAGCGAGUGCUAAGAUCCGUUGUCAAAAGGGAAACAGCCCAGACCAUCAGCUAAGGUCCCGAAGUGUGUGUUAAGUGGGAAAGGAUGUGGAGUUGCACAGACAACCAGGAUGUUGGCUUAGAAGCAGCCACCAUUGAAAGAGUGCGUAAUAGCUCACUGGUCGAGUGACUCUGCGCCGAAAAUGUAACGGGGCUAAACACGCCACCGAAGCUAUGGCU